Molecule: ribosomal RNA, 468 nt
Filed under: uncultured bacterium
Lineage: Bacteria
Description: partial 16S ribosomal RNA
Rfam family: Bacterial small subunit ribosomal RNA
Source: RNAcentral
GACGAACGCUGGCGGCGUGCUUAACACAUGCAAGUCGAACGGAAAGGCCCUGCUUUUGUGGGGUGCUCGAGUGGCGAACGCGCGAGUAACACGUGAGUAACCUGCCCUUGUCUUUGGGAUAACUUCAGGAAACUGGGGCUAAUACCGGAUAGGAGCUCCUGCUGCAUGGUGGGGGUUGGAAAGUUUCGGCGGUUGGGGAUGGACUCGCGGCUUAUCAGCUUGUUGGUGGGGUAGUGGCUUACCCAGGCUUUGACGGGUAGCCGGCCUGAGAGGGUGACCGGCCACAUUGGGACUGAGAUACGGACCAGACUCCUACGGGGGGCAGCAGUGGGGAAUAUUGCACAAUGGGCGGGAGCCUGAUGCAGCAACGCCGCGUGCGGGAUGACGGCCUUCGGGUUGUAAACCGCUUUCGCCUGUGACGAAGCGUGAGUGACGGUAAUGGGUAAAGAAGCACCGGCUAACUACGUG